RNAcentral lists this ribosomal RNA (378 nucleotides) under Frankia sp. Its description in RNAcentral is "bacterial SSU rRNA". It matches the Rfam family "Bacterial small subunit ribosomal RNA", at positions 28 to 416 of the family's 1533-position model. The record is from RNAcentral. Lineage: Bacteria; Bacillati; Actinomycetota; Actinomycetes; Frankiales; Frankiaceae.
GACGAACGCUGGCGGCGUGCUUAACACAUGCAAGUCGAGCGAGGGGCUUCGGCUCCUAGCGGCGAACGGGUGAGUAACACGUGGGCAACUUGCCCCGAGCUCUGGAAUAACCUCGGGAAACCGGGGCUAAUGCCGGAUAUGACACUGCUGGGCAUCUGGUGGUGUGGAAAGAUUUAUCGGCUCGGGAUGGGCCCGCGGCCUAUCAGCUUGUUGGUGGGGUGAUGGCCUACCAAGGCGACGACGGGUAGCCGGCCUGAGAGGGCGACCGGCCACACUGGGACUGAGACACGGCCCAGACUCCUACGGGAGGCAGCAGUGGGGAAUAUUGCGCAAUGGGCGAAAGCCUGACGCAGCGACGCCGCGUGGGGGAUGACGGCC